CCUACGGGAGUCAGCAGUGAGGAAUAUUGGUCAAUGGACGAGAGUCUGAACCAGCCAAGUAGCGUGAAGGAUGACUGCCCUAUGGGUUGUACACUUCUUUUAUAAAGGAAUAAAACGAGGCACGUGUGCCUUUUUGCAUGUACUUUAUGAAUAAGGAUCGGCUAACUCCGUGCCCGCAGCCGCGGUCAUACGGAGGAUACGAGCGUUAUCCGGAUUUAUUGGGUUUAAAGGGUGCUUAGAUGGGUUGUUAAUUCAGUUGUGAAAGUUUGCGGCUCAACCGUAAAAUUGCAAUUGAUACUGGCAGUCUUGAGUACAGUUGAGGUAGGCGGAAUUCGUGGUGGAGCGGUGAAAUGCUUAGAUAUCACGAAGAACCCCGAUUGCGAAGGCAGCUUACUAAACUGUGACUGACAUUGAUGCUCGAAAGUGUGGGUAUCAAACAGGAUUAGAUACCCUUGUAGUC
This 460-nucleotide ribosomal RNA is filed under the name uncultured bacterium. RNAcentral describes it as "partial 16S ribosomal RNA". It matches the Rfam family "Bacterial small subunit ribosomal RNA", at positions 338 to 795 of the family's 1533-position model. The record is from RNAcentral.